UAAUAGUAAAGUUACCAUCCGUCCCUAGCGCAAGUGGCAAAGAACUUGAUAAUUGGUAUCGGAGAUCUAAAUUCGAAUUCUAGUUGAUUCGCAUUUUCAGCUAAGUUUAUUUCUAAAUGAAAUAAACAAAGCAGAUAGCGUGAUACCUAUCUCUCAAAAAAUAAUAAUAAUAAUAAUAAUAAUAUAAUAAUAGUAAAAUUAUUCUUUGAUG
RNAcentral lists this long non-coding RNA (211 nucleotides) under Ananas comosus (pineapple). RNAcentral's name for it is "long non-coding RNA (ACOM_LNC037444)". The record is from RNAcentral. Lineage: Eukaryota; Viridiplantae; Streptophyta; Magnoliopsida; Poales; Bromeliaceae.